Suricata suricatta (meerkat) is the source of this 4438-nucleotide long non-coding RNA. RefSeq lists it as uncharacterized. The transcript is spliced from 4 exons. NCBI's taxonomy places the organism in Eukaryota, Metazoa, Chordata, Mammalia, Carnivora, Herpestidae. The record is from RefSeq and is a predicted model, not a curated record.
AACAUUUUUUUAAUUUAAAAAAUAAAAUAUAUAUUUACUGAUUGACCCAGUAAAAUAGAGCAAAAAGUAAACGCUUGUUUACAUGAUAUGUGGUUUUAUAUGUUUUUUAGGGCCAGCAGGAUGCACUAGAGGUAGUUUGUGCGAAAAUGCGAUAGCUUUUAGUCUCCAGCAAUGUUUCCUGUACCUGUAGCUCUUAGUCUCAGUCUCACUGUGCGAUUGGUAGCAACUCCGUUCGCAGUGAGCAAGCCCCGUCCAGAUCAUAUGAAGACCAGCAGAGCCCGGGUAAGAUCGGCGUGCUCUCCAGAACUCCGAGCAUGGGAUUAUGGAAAUUUCCGUAGGAAAGAGCUUCUUCAUGCCGUUCCCAGUUGAGGGACAUUCUUGAUUUUCAGUUGCUUGCUACGGAUCUUCCUGGCACACCUUCAUUUUUCUACCGACAGGGUUUACACUAGUUGGCCUUUAAUUUUAUAAUUAGGAAGGGGAGGUUUAAACGCCUCCCCCGAUUAGGAAUGUUAAGUAAUUGUCUUUCUAGAACUGCAGUAAAAAAUAUCAGCGAUUUGCAGAGUUGCAGUGUGGGCGUUGGCAGGAAGCUGGGUCGCUGCCGGGACUCCUGGGUGUGCGGUUCCGAAGUGCAUGUCAGGAUGACUAAUAGUUGGACCGCCCUGGCCGUGCGGCUAAAUAAAAGCUGCAUCGAACAUUCUCGGCUACCCGUGAGACUCGACCACUCUGUCAUGCGAAGACUAUGCCCAAGAGCUCAAUUAUGUUCAAAUAAGGCUGCACGGAGGGCUGUCAGAAGGGGAGUCGGCUGGAAACCAAGGGUAUUUAUAGAAGAGAAGGAGAUUUCACUGUGCUUCACGAAUUUGUUGCAACCCAGCUCAAAAGUCUGUUCCUGUUUGAAGCAGCCGUGUGCUUUUGGGCAAUUUGCUGUGUGCCACCGGACCUCCAUUUUCUUAUUGCUGAAAUAUUUGGGGGCAGGUCACGUGCGCCUGGCAUUUUGCAGGCGCUACGGUUCUGUGGUCUGUGAGUGUAGGGUGGAUGUCAAAUUACACAUUGACCAUUUUCAGAAAGCUCGGCUACAGUAGAAACUAUUGUGGAGAAAAUGGCUCUGCCCUCGGAUGGAAAAUGGAGCGUUCUCAAAUCGCCCUUUGCCCCUUUGAUUACAGUUAAGUUAUUCAGGCAUUUGGGGCCUCAUGGCAUACCAGCUAUUUAUUUAUUUAUUUAUUUAUUUAUUUACUCCUCUAUUUAAAAACCUCUUGGAAAGGCGCCCUGGGAGCCCUGGCGGGCCCGAGGUGUGUUGAGUUCUCCCCUUCUGCACGCUCCAGCUGACCUGGGGGCUCGAGGGGCAGUGGGUGAUCGGAGUCGACUUGUUUACCUUCCUAUUUUAAUUGCUGUGGAGAACGAACAGAGCUUUUCUAUGCGGUUCCUUUCUUAGGAUUUAACCUCCUGCUACUCUGAACUAUUUUUUUUCCCCACCACAGUCCUCAAACUGAAUUACUCCCCUGCUCCAGGUGGCUGAUGAUGGUGAUUAUUACUUCUUACACCGUACCCGGGAGCUGGGUAGGAAGGACGAGGGACAAGCUUGGGCUUUGUGGGGCGUUUCCAUGAUCAAUAACGUAGUUCCUCUUGGAAUUCUCGCCGUGCUACAGGAACCGUUACGUCGAACACCUUCCCGUCAGCAGCCGUGAACGGGCUGACCCACGGCAGAACGGAAGUGACCAGCAGCUCCCGUGAGCUGAAUUCACCGUGUUUUUGACAAAUGACCGGGAAGCGACAAGUCCCAAAUGUUUCCUCAGUUUCCAGGAGCGGCUGUAAGUCCUUAGACUGGUCCCGUUGUCCUCAGUCAGGGGGCUGUGCCUCAGUUACCAUUUUGCGGAUGUCUCCUCACUUCUUACACUCAUUUCACUUCUUACACUCCUCCUGCCUCCGUGGAUCAGGGGCGUGGAAAACCCUGUCCAGCACCAGGUAUCAGCAUCCUGCUGGAAGCCGCUUUCAUCUGGCACAUGCUCUGGCCAGUCAACAUUCCUGUGCCCACCUUCAGACACACAUGUCCGUUUGUCUUCUUUCUUCUUUUAUUUCAGUUAAACUCUGAUGUUUGCUCAUUCACCUGUUUUUUAUUUUCACCCCCUUGCGCUACGCCUUCAUUACUUUUCGUGAAAAUAAAUGACCAUAUGUUACCAGAGGUUUGGGGGGUUUUUUCCCCUGCAUUGUUUUUUGUGUUUUGUUGUUGUUGUUUGUGUUGUCUUGGCGCUGGUGUUGCUAUUUGUUGAUGUGGUUUGUAAAAUAGUCUUACCGGCUGCUCUCUCUUGGCAAACGAGAAGGCCAGUGGAUUCUGACGCCAGCGACCGCUCCGGGUGCGACGCUGACCUGGGACAAUGGCUGCCCUUGGCGCCUCUGACCUAACCACCGUGUGGGGCGGCUGUGAGUGUCCUCGCUGUGCAGACUGGCCCUGAGGCGCAGUCAGGUGACCCCCACGGCCAGGGGAGGCGGGGCCGGAGACUAGCCAGCCCGUCUCGCCCCACAGCACGCUGGGUUCUGUUUAGCCGUCUUAUGAAUGUCAGGAAUUAGACUCCAUAGCUGAGCAGGUGCUCCUGUGUGAAGUGCGUGGGCUCCCGGCCAGACCCAUGUUGACCUGCUCAGCCUACCCGUAGUUGGAGUCCACACGAGUCAGGGCCAGGGCGUCGGAGGGCAACGCCCAUGUUUCAUUGACUCAGUCAGUCAUUCGUUCUCUCAACAGUCAGUGAGUGUCGGCGAGGGGCUGGGAACCCCCUAGGGGCCCAGACAUUGCAGAGAAUCCCAAGACCGAGUCCGGACCCUUCCCUACAAGCCUUAGGGCAUAAGCUGACCCCCUCCGCCAGCAUCCCAGGUCACGCCAGUCCACGGGUCUCCUUCUCUGAGCUUCUGUGCUUUGCUUUUACUUACCUUACUUGAUAGUCAAUGCAAGACUCCUUUGUGCUUUUCUUUGUCCGUUGUAAUUAAUUGAUGGUCAGGAAGGUAGCCUUUCAAAGCAGCCCUUGAGGAUCUGUGGUCCCUGCACACCAGUCACAUCACUGCGCAUCAGUUUGGCACUCCAUAAACCCUUCCAGCCUGGCAGGGACGACUGUGCCCGUGCGUGCGAGUGCCCGCGGCCCCUUCGCGGGCGCCCUCCAAGCCCCGGUGACUCCGGUCGGAUCAGAUCUGAUAACAAGUCCCAGGAGGACACCCCCCGGCCGCACAGUGUGCCCUGCGGUCAGGAGUCACACACACGGGGAGAUCUGGCCCACGCAUGCCCUGAUUUCUGGGCCCACGUGGCAGAUUCCACCACCAAACACCGACGAAGGCCUGAGCAAACACAGACCUGGCGUUUGUGCUCAUUUCUGCCGUGACGGGCUUGGGUCGUAUUCAGAGAACAUCUUGCCCAUCCUUCCCGAGGUCUUGGGAACGGACGACCUCGUCCUGGGAGAGCCACUUGGGAGUCCCUGCCCGGCCGUGUCGCCUGCUCUCCUGACCCUCCGUCACCUGCCUCUUCUCUGGGCUUCUUCGCUUUCUCCCUCACUCCCCAAGUUUCAGAAGAUGAUGCUGUUGAAGAUCAGUGGAAAAUGGCCAGGGAAACCCGCAACGCCAACCACACCGUCCCUGGUCACACACAAAGGCAACAUCAUCUACCUACUCGGGCUCCUGGUUCUCAGCUUUUCAUGAAUUGAAAGGACUUACCCCUCCUACCAAUGCACAGAAUGCUCCGAAUGCUCCGGAAAGAGCCGCCAGAGCCGCCAGCCUCUGAGGACAGCCGCCAUGGGGGAAAGGAAACUGAAACUCUGUAAGCGGACAAGAAUUUUGCACCCUCCUGGAGUUGUCCGGUGCGUCCAGAGGCCUCAGGGAUGCAGGAGCGCCUUGAGCAGGUGAAAACCAGCUCAUGGGGACACUGUGGUCCCUGCCGGGUGUCUGAGCCUUCACCUGUCGGCAGCAGGUACCUGUGCGUGGACAUCGCCACUGCAGCUAGUCGCCCUAGCCAACGACCGGCAGGCUGAGGGCUGAGGCCUCGGGCACCAGGGCGGCCGUCUGCCCCCACCUCCUCCACGGGGUGCGCCCGCCGCCAAGGUCAUGCUCACCUGCGCUCAGCGGCCAGCCCCGGUUUCUGCCAUCUGCGAGCUCUUUCUUCAUGAAGAGGACCCGUGUCACCAGGGGCCACGCCCGCUAGAUGAGGACACGUCCAGGCACUGGGUGAGCUCACAGGGCAGCUCGGGCGCACACAGUCCAGGGUCCACACACGACACCGUGGUCCCAGGUCGGGUGCAAGGCGGCCUCAGACCAGAAGCCGCAGCACAAACGCAGGGAUCAGGGUCGGCGAGCCUGCGUCCCCAGCAGUGCCUGUCCCUGCGAAGUGGACAAGAGGGCAGGGCGCCUGGGGGCUCAGUCGGUUGAGCGUCUGACUUCGGCUCAGGUCAUGAUCUCACGGUUCGUCAGU